UGGGGAAUAUUGCACAAUGGGCGCAAGCCUGAUGCAGCCAUGCCGCGUGUGUGAAGAAGGCCUUCGGGUUGUAAAGCACUUUCAGCGAGGAGGAAGGNGGUGAACUUAAUACGUUCAUCAAUUGACGUUACUCGCAGAAGAAGCACCGGCUAACUCCGUGCCAGCAGCCGCGGUAAUACGGAGGGUGCAAGCGUUAAUCGGAAUUACUGGGCGUAAAGCGCACGCAGGCGGUUUGUUAAGUCAGAUGUGAAAUCCCCGGGCUCAACCUGGGAACUGCAUUUGAAACUGGCAAGCUAGAGUCUCGUAGAGGGGGGUAGAAUUCCAGGUGUAGCGGUGAAAUGCGUAGAGAUCUGGAGGAAUACCGGUGGCGAAGGCGGCCCCCUGGACGAAGAACUGACGCUCAGGUGCG
RNAcentral lists this ribosomal RNA (409 nucleotides) under uncultured bacterium. Its description in RNAcentral is "partial 16S ribosomal RNA". It matches the Rfam family "Bacterial small subunit ribosomal RNA", at positions 355 to 755 of the family's 1533-position model. The record is from RNAcentral.